GGAAUAUUGCACAAUGGGGGAAACCCUGAUGCAGCGACGCCGCGUGGGUGACGAAGUAUUUCGGUAUGUAAAGCCCUAUCAGCAGGGAAGAAGAUGACAGUACCUGACUAAGAAGCCCCGGCUAACUACGUGCCAGCAGCCGCGGUAAUACGUAGGGGGCAAGCGUUAUCCGGAUUUACUGGGUGUAAAGGGAGCGUAGACGGUGAAGCAAGUCUGAAGUGAAAGGCGGGGGCUCAACCCCCCGGACUGCUUUGGAAACUGUUUGACUGGAGUGCAGGAGAGGUAAGUGGAAUUCCUAGUGUAGCGGUGAAAUGCGUAGAUAUUAGGAGGAACACCAGUGGCGAAGGCGGCUUACUGGACUGUAACUGACGUUGAGGCUCGAAAGCGUGGGGAGCAAAC
This 399-nucleotide ribosomal RNA is filed under the name uncultured bacterium. Its description in RNAcentral is "bacterial SSU rRNA". It matches the Rfam family "Bacterial small subunit ribosomal RNA", at positions 358 to 773 of the family's 1533-position model. The record is from RNAcentral.